Molecule: ribosomal RNA, 1245 nt
Filed under: metagenome
Description: bacterial LSU rRNA
Rfam family: Bacterial large subunit ribosomal RNA
Source: RNAcentral
UGAAUACGAGACGCUAAGGCGUCGAAGUAGUGUAUGUCAUACUUCCAAGAAAAGCUUGCACUGUCAUAGAUAAAAAACGCCUGUACCAUAACCGACACAGGUGGGUAGGUAGAGUAUACUAAGGGGCGCGAGAUAACUCUCUCUAAGGAACUCGGCAAAAUAACUCCGUAACUUCGGGAGAAGGAGUGCCUUAUUCGUAAGGUUGCAAUAACAAGAUCCAAGCAACUGUUUAUCAAAAACACAGGUCUCCGCUAAGUCGUAAGACGAUGUAUGGGGGCUGACGCCUGCCCAGUGCCAGAAGGUUAAAGAAGUUGGUUAGCAAUUGCGAAGCUGAUAACUGAAGCCCUGGUGAACGGCGGCCGUAACAAUAACGGUCCUAAGGUAGCGAAAUUCCUUGUCGGGUAAGUUCCGACCCGCACGUAAGGCGUAAUGAUUUGGAUACUGUCUCGGAGAGGGGCUCGGUGAAAUAGACUUGUCUGUGAAGAUGCGGACUACCUGCACCAGGACAGAAAGACCCUAUGAAGCUUUACUGUAACUUGAAAUUGAAAUUGGACUUUAUUCGCGCAGUAUAGGUGGGAGGCGUUGAUUAUAAUCUUGUGGGAUUAUUGGAGCCAUCAGUGAGAUACCACUCUUGUAAUGUUAGAUUUCUAACUUUGAAUCAUUAUCUGGUCAAAGAACAGUCUCAGGCGGGCAGUUUGACUGGGGCGGUCGCCUCCUAAACGGUAACGGAGGCGUACAAAGGUUUCCUCUGAACGGUUAGAAAUCGUAUCUAGAGUGUAAAGGCAUAAGGAAGCUUGACUGUGAGACCUACAAGUCGAGCAGGGACGGAAGUCGGUCUUAGUGAUCUGACGGUACUGAGUGGAAAGGCCGUCACUCAACGGAUAAAAGUUACUCUAAGGAUAACAGGCUGAUCUCCCCCAAGAGUUCACAUCGACGGGGAGGUUUGGCACCUCGAUGUCGGCUCAUCGCAUCCUGGGGCGGUAGUACGUCCCAAGGGUUGGGCUGUUCGCCCAUGAAAGCGGUACGCGAGCUGGGUUCAGAACGUCGUGAGACAGUUCGGUCCAUAUCCGGUGUAGGCGUUAGAAUAUUGAGAGGAGCCUUCUUUAGUACGAGAGGACCGAGAAGGACAUACCUCUGGUGUACCAGUUAUCGUGCCAACGGUAAACGCUGGGUAGCUAUGUAUGGAGUGGAUAACCGCUGAAAGCAUCUAAGUGGGAAGCCCACCUCAAGAUAAGUAUUCUCAUC